This 1031-nucleotide long non-coding RNA is filed under the name Bos indicus x Bos taurus (hybrid cattle). RNAcentral describes it as "lncRNA (ENSBIXG00000014136.1)". Lineage: Eukaryota; Metazoa; Chordata; Mammalia; Artiodactyla; Bovidae. The record is from RNAcentral.
UAAUAAUGGACUAGCUGGUGGAAGGAGACGGAGCAGGCAGCAGUGUGAAGUUCAAAGGCUCGGCUCACACCUGAUUCUCCCAGGGAGGGCUGCCCCCAGGACCGAACCCCCCUGCUUAUAUGAGGGGGGCGACCACCAUGCGCCAUGCUCUGCAGAACUGCAGCCUGGAUGGGGGGCUUCAAAGCACGCCUGCCGAUAGAUCAAGCGUCCUUUCCAACAGGAUAGCCCCCUCCUUGCUCACCUCCCCAAAUAAACCUGCGUAAUGAAGACAGAUGGCCUAGCUCAGUGCCGCCGCGUGCAGGUGGGGCCAGGGCGGCCCGAGGCCACACACCCCACCCUGGAGCGGGGCCUGAGGUGUCACCAGGACGGAGACCAACCUGCACCCCCUUCAUCACCGACCCCCCACCAGGGGCAGCAUCUCUAUGUGAUAAGCCAGGGGCUGCCUCCCCUUGUCCUUUGAACAGUUCUGCUUGGACGUCCUGUAGGCGGAGCCUGCGCCCUGGCAGCUGACAGUCACAAGGAGAAUGGACGUCCUUCAAACCCCAGGCAAACCAUUGGACCAAGGGUCAGGGCCCCACAUGGCUGGCUGUUUCUGGAACAGAUGAGUAUAUUUUUUCAACAAAUACCAAUACAGCACUUACUCAUUGCCAGGUUCUUUUCUACAUGCUUUGAAAAUAUUAACUUGUGCGUCAUCAAUGACUCUAUGAAAUGGGUGCUGUGAUUAUACCCAUUUACAGGGGAGAACACCAAGGCCCGGGGAGGUUAAGUGACUUGCCUGAGGUCACAGAACCAGUGGGUGGGGUAGCCUGGGUUUGAACUUCAGAGGCUGGUGGCUCCAGAGUUGGAAUGUUUAGUCACCCUUUCGUGUCUGAAUAAUCACGUGUUUGCUGUGUGUAGGCGCCAAUCAUGAACUGUCUCAUCUGAUUUCCCCAGAAGCCCCAUAAAAUGUGUCAUGACUUUGAUAUUGUAACGGCACUAUCUCUAUUUCGCAGAGAAAUAAAAUGGCACAGUCAUGGGUGAAUGAACGAGGG